Molecule: ribosomal RNA, 861 nt
Filed under: Lodderomyces parapsilosis
Lineage: Eukaryota; Fungi; Ascomycota; Pichiomycetes; Serinales; Debaryomycetaceae
Description: LSU rRNA
Rfam family: Eukaryotic large subunit ribosomal RNA
Source: RNAcentral
UUAAGCAUAUCAAUAAGCGGAGGAAAAGAAACCAACAGGGAUUGCCUUAGUAGCGGCGAGUGAAGCGGCAAAAGCUCAAAUUUGAAAUCUGGCACUUUCAGUGUCCGAGUUGUAAUUUGAAGAAGGUAUCUUUGGGUCUGGCUCUUGUCUAUGUUUCUUGGAACAGAACGUCACAGAGGGUGAGAAUCCCGUGCGAUGAGAUGUCCCAGACCUAUGUAAAGUUCCUUCGAAGAGUCGAGUUGUUUGGGAAUGCAGCUCUAAGUGGGUGGUAAAUUCCAUCUAAAGCUAAAUAUUGGCGAGAGACCGAUAGCGAACAAGUACAGUGAUGGAAAGAUGAAAAGAACUUUGAAAAGAGAGUGAAAAAGUACGUGAAAUUGUUGAAAGGGAAGGGCUUGAGAUCAGACUUGGUAUUUUGUAUGUUACUCUCUCGGGGGUGGCCUCUACAGUUUACCGGGCCAGCAUCAGUUUGAGCGGUAGGAUAAGUGCAAAGAAAUGUGGCACUGCUUCGGUAGUGUGUUAUAGUCUUUGUCGAUACUGCCAGCUUAGACUGAGGACUGCGGCUUCGGCCUAGGAUGUUGGCAUAAUGAUCUUAAGUCGCCCGUCUUGAAACACGGACCAAGGAGUCUAACGUCUAUGCGAGUGUUUGGGUGUAAAACCCGUACGCGUAAUGAAAGUGAACGUAGGUAGGACCUCCUUUAGGAGUGCACUAUCGACCGAUCCUGAUGUCUUCGGAUGGAUUUGAGUAAGAGCAUAGCUGUUGGGACCCGAAAGAUGGUGAACUAUGCCUGAAUAGGGUGAAGCCAGAGGAAACUCUGGUGGAGGCUCGUAGCGGUUCUGACGUGCAAAUCGAUCGUCGAAUUU